CCCUGAUGCACAAGGUACCUUUAUGUACUUUUAAACUUUUAAACUUUUAAAAUUUUUCAUUUUUCCCUUACAGUUAAAAAAUAAAUUUUUUCAUUAUAAAAAUACAUAAAUUUAAAUAAAAUUUUACCUUUUUAAUCUUAUUCUUUUUAUUUUUUAUAAAAAAAAA
RNAcentral lists this ribosomal RNA (166 nucleotides) under Ixodes pavlovskyi. RNAcentral's name for it is "partial 16S ribosomal RNA". The record is from RNAcentral. Lineage: Eukaryota; Metazoa; Arthropoda; Arachnida; Ixodida; Ixodidae.